ACCAGGGGAGAGACCAGGGGGGAGACCAGGGGGGAGACCAGGGGAGAGACCAGGGGAGAGACCAGGGGAGAGACCAGCGCAGAACCAGUCCCACUGAACUGUGGUGGGGUGGGGCCGUGUCUAGUGAGACCUGAGGCCAAGCAGAAGGAUUUCCUGUGCUCUGGUGCAGUCUUGCAGCCUUGGAUGAUUCAAGCAAUUACAGCUAAACACAGCACCCUAGCUAGGCACAGCUCAACACAGCUAAGCACAGUUCCCUGGCUGGGCACAAGGACCCCUCUCAUGACCUCCACACUCGGUUGGCCUCAGUCUCUCUCAGUAAAUCCUCACCCUGUUCUGUGUUGAGCAUACAACCACAUCCUCACCCUGUAUCCUGUUGGCCUGUACCGGGGCUGACCCAGACGGCACAGUUCAGAGAUACACUUUCAUCUAACGGUUCAGUCCAGACAUCAGGCACGUGAACAGACUGAUUUAGAACAGCCAGUCCUCUGGUGGGUGACUGCUGCCCGUUUGAACAUGCAGGGAAGAGGGACAGAGCGCCUACUCUUCCUCAUUAGGCUUCCUGUCCCGCUCACUCAGUCUGUAAUCUCUUAAUCUGGUUGGCUAAUCCCGAGCAGGUAUUUGAUUUGUCCUUUCUUUGAAAGACACAUGGAACCUGGCCAGCACACCAUGCCAGAUUGGGACGCUAACCCUAACCACUGCACUGACCCGCUCAUGUCUUCAGCACACUGACUACACUGUGUAAUCAAGUGAGAAUAUAGGACAGUUUACAACACUGUACACCGGUACAUGUGUGUUGGUGUACUUUCAAAUUUAUUUUACUUUCCACGUGCAAAGAUUUCUACUAAGACAUUCCCUUUUUCAACCAAAGAUGCUCAUGAGAGUUAUGACUGCAUGAUGUCCUGGUUCUGGUCCUGGUCCUAGUUCUGGUCCUAGUUCUGGUUCUGGUUCUGGUCCUAGUCCUGGUCCUGGUCCUGGUCCUAGUUCUGGUCUUGGUCCUAGUUCUGGUUCUGGUUCUGUCCUGGCCCUGGUUCUGGUUCUGGUUCUGGUCCUGGUCCAACAACACUGGUCUCUGGGGUGGCACCUAGACGUUCCAGGGGAAUCUUAGACCUUGUGUCGUUACUGUCAUUAGCAGUUGUAUUAAUUAGUAACACAUAGAAGGAGCAGGUUUGAUGACAUCAGUGCCUCCUGGUGGACAGAAUCGGUUUUGCUCCAGCGUCACAGAAUGAUCAUUAUCGUCUCCAGUCAUCUGUUUUUCUAUGAUCGUUUGGAGAUGUCUUCAAAAAGCAAUAUAUUUACUUCCUGUGUGGCUGUAUGACGUAUUUAAUCCUGGAAUGGCUGUAACACAUGAAUAGAGUCAUAAAUCACAGAGAGAGUGAGAGAGAAAGACUGAACAUGUAAAUAAGAUGUUCGCAUAAAGAUAUUAUACAGAUUUUUGCCAACGCCCAUUUUCAAGACUGACCAACAGAUUACUAAGCAUAUUGGUUUUAUUUAAAAAGAAAGAGAUCAAGUAUUUUUAAUGUUAUUUUGUUGUAAAGAGGAAAUCAUAUUUUAGCUUGGAUUGUAUAAAUGCAUCCAGACAGCAUACUGGGUCACCAGUAAUCUCAAUAAUUGUGUAAGAAUUUAAGAUGGUUCAACACUAAAUACUUUUUGAAUGUAGAUAAUUAUUUAUUCUUUUGGUUACAACCAAGCCAUUUGCAGUAUUGAGUGUUUGCAGUGGUGCAAUUUUAGCUCUAGUCACAGGUGACUAGACGACACCUAAAAUAGGUGGGUGUAUGUUUAAGAUCCGUAAACUGAAGAGUAAAAAAUGGGAUUUGACCCUAUAGAGAGCUACACUCUCACAUGACCUCCACGUUCAACCAGAACUGGCAAAAGUUUGAGCAUUUCUCAAAGGUUUUUGGUCUAAUUCUGAUUAUAUUCUAAUAACUGAUGUUAAUGCUACCUAAUUAAACACAUGGAUUCAGAAGAUUACGAAAAAACACAAGAAAGUGAUACGAGACAGAAAUCAGUUUGGGACAGUCUUUCACCUUAAAUAUAAAUGGUUGAUAAUUCUAUUCUCUUGAAAUCUUAAGUUGUUGCUGUUUCUGUAUGUUUACUUUUUGGGUUGUUUUUGCUCAUGUUCAUGUAAAAAACAAUAGAGAAAUCAAUAAAGGUGAUUGGAAGGAU
This is a long non-coding RNA of Osmerus eperlanus (European smelt), 2163 nucleotides long. RefSeq lists it as uncharacterized. The transcript is spliced from 2 exons. The record is from RefSeq and is a predicted model, not a curated record. NCBI's taxonomy places the organism in Eukaryota, Metazoa, Chordata, Actinopteri, Osmeriformes, Osmeridae.